Molecule: unclassified non-coding RNA, 298 nt
Filed under: uncultured fungus
Lineage: Eukaryota; Fungi
Description: partial contains small subunit ribosomal RNA, internal transcribed spacer 1, and 5.8S ribosomal RNA
Rfam family: Eukaryotic small subunit ribosomal RNA (bases 1-73)
Source: RNAcentral
UCAAACUUGGUCAUUUAGAGGAAGUAAAAGUCGUAACAAGGUCUCCGUUGGUGAACCAGCGGAGGGAUCAUUACCGAGUUUCUACAAACUCCCUAACCCACUGUGAACCAUACCACUGUUGCUUCGGCGGGACCGCCCCGGGGGCCGCCCCUCGCGAGCCCCGGAACCAGGCGCCCGCCGAAGGCCAAACAAACUCUGUUUACAAGAAACGUGCACUUCUGAGUGGCGCAAGCAUGAGAAUGCUGUAAAAACUUUCAACAAUGGAUCUCUUGGCUCUGGCAUCGAUGAAGAACGCAGC